AAUUCCCUCACCUACCCUCUCCUCUGCUCAUCCCCUUCUCCAAGCUUCUCCCCCUUCACUCUCUCGAUCCGAUCCAGCCUACUCUGGUCCCCCUCAACCAGAUCAGGGCGUUACACUCACGACCGUCGGUCAAUUCUAGCCACCACUAGUGAGAACCGUAGCUUUCCAGCACCGCUCUCUCAGCCCACACUACCUCCUCCAUCGAGUGAAUUCAACAUGUUCGUUCCUGAGCGGCCCUACAUCGUGGAUCUGGUCCCACGUUGUCGUGGAUGUGGUCGUUGACCUUGACGGCGCACGGUCGCCAUGGCUGUGGCCGCUUGCGUUGUGUGCGCAAGAAGCAGAACCGCAUCACGCAGAUGGAUUAGGCGAUCCGCGUCGCCGUCGGCAUGACGCUUAACCAGGAGCAGAAGUAGGUGAUGCGCUCAAGCCCACCUUCGCCACCAUCGAGCGCCUUGCUUCCGUAGUGGGUGUCUCUAGCCGCGACGCACUCCAGGCAUGUGGCCAUCACGCCCACUUAUGGCUCGCCCACGCCGAUGAGCCGAUCCACUCUGGCUCCUCUGUUACUUGCAUUUUGGUGUGGUGAGGGCUAAGUUGGACAGGAUAAUGGCAUUAGACUACUACACAGCAGCUGCAGUUGGAGGGAGCUACGGAGCUGAAGAUGUGCAGGCACAGGAGAGUAUUACAGUCCAGGAGAACCUAGCUGCUGAAGGUCACAAGGACAACUCCUUGAUACCCAGCAAACAUAAAAACGUAUAUAAACUGGAAGUAUUGUGUGCAAGAAACCGAGGUGGGAUUAAAACAAACCAACCUUUGCAUCUACUAUCCAAACCGAUAUGGAGACGUGGGGGCUCCAUCGUCACAUUAUCGACUUACUCCGUCACCUCAGCUGGACCGGAGGCUUCACCAUCGCUUCAUUAACCCACUCCGGGGACAUCGGCGUCACCAGCCGACUAGCUCCGUCACCUCGGUUGGACUAGGGGCUUCACCUCACCGCAUCGGCAGUAUUGUGCCAUCACCUCAUCAAGCCGAGCUCUUUGCUCAGGCACCUUGGGACUGGCUUGGGGGCUGGGUCCUCGUCCCGCCGCAAGCUCGGCGUGUGUCAUCACCACUGAGCACAUUAACCAGCUAAGUCGUUUUCAUGCUCAAAUUUUUUAAUUUGUUCGGUUCGACCAAACUUUAUAUUUAUGUUAAACAAAAGACUUAGUUUGUUAAAAUAAGUUAUUUGUUAACAACACUUCCUUUACCCAAGUUAACUGGGGGCUCUUAAAUUUGUACGAGCCGUUCUAUAAUAAUUGUUUUCUUCUUAGUCAUUGCAAAGUCUUUUUCCGCCACUCGUUUCUCGACUCUAGUGUGCGGUCAAUAGCCGGAUAGCCUGAUUUCUCUCUAAAGCUGCUCAAUUUUAGUUUGCUAAACUGGCCUUAGAGAAGCACUCCGCCUUCGGGAUAAGGAGGUUAAGCCGAAGGCUGACCCACUUGAAGUUUAGAUCGGAUGUGUCAUAUUAAUGCAAGACAGAAGCACAAAAAAUUUAAGGCCAAGUUUGAAUUGGCACAAAACCUUGAUUUAGUUCGGACGUAAAGUUUUUACUAAAGUUUUUUAUUUUUCAAGCUUAUGGCAUAUUUUAUGUGUUUCCAAUAUAAGUCUCGCAGUACAACGUGAGACACCUUUAAAGCUUAGGCACUAUCAAAGAGGGGUUGCGGGUAGAGCCGAACCUGUUGGGGAACGCAGUAUUUCAAAAAAAAUCCUACGAUCACGCAAGAUCUAUUUAGGAGAUGCAUA
Triticum aestivum (bread wheat) is the source of this 1776-nucleotide long non-coding RNA. RefSeq lists it as uncharacterized. The transcript has 4 exons. Lineage: Eukaryota; Viridiplantae; Streptophyta; Magnoliopsida; Poales; Poaceae. The record is from RefSeq and is a predicted model, not a curated record.